GCAGCCCGGUGUGGCUCAGCAGUGCCCAAAUCCCUCCCGGCACCGGAUUCCCUGGGAAAACCCAGAUUUGAGAGCUACACCGGAUACGAAGAUGCUUGAAAAACUGCUUGGUGCUUUUGGAGACUGGAUCCACUCAAACAUUUUAAUGAGAUUUGUUGUCAUUGUUGUUGGAAAAUGCUGCUUCAUCCAAACCAAAAUGUCUCGCAGUGAAAU
This is a long non-coding RNA of Grus americana (Whooping crane), 213 nucleotides long. RefSeq lists it as uncharacterized. The record is from RefSeq and is a predicted model, not a curated record. Lineage: Eukaryota; Metazoa; Chordata; Aves; Gruiformes; Gruidae. The transcript has 2 exons.